UAGCGGCGGACGGGUGAGUAACGCGUGGGUACACCUACCCCACAGUCCGGGAUAACAGCGGGAAACCGCUGCUAAUACCGGAUGCCUUUACCUUGGGGCAUCUUGAGGCUAAAGAAAGGCUAACGCUCUUGGGAUGCGGCCCGCGUCCCAUUAGCUAGUUGGUGACGGUAACGGCUCACCAAGGCGACGAUGGGUAGCCGGCCUGAGAGGUGGACGGCCACACUGCGACUGAGACACGGCCCAUGACUCUUACGGGAGGAGCGGUGGGGAAUC
RNAcentral lists this ribosomal RNA (273 nucleotides) under uncultured prokaryote. RNAcentral's name for it is "partial 16S ribosomal RNA". It matches the Rfam family "Bacterial small subunit ribosomal RNA", at positions 93 to 363 of the family's 1533-position model. The record is from RNAcentral.